UACGUAGGGGGCGAGCGUUGUCCGGAGUUACUGGGCGUAAAGGGCACGCAGGCGGUGCGGCGCGUUUCGCGUGACAGCGGAGGGCUUAACUCUCCGAGGAUGCGAAAGACGGCGGCACUUGAGGGCCAGAGAGGGACGCGGAAUACCAGGUGGAGCGGUGAAAUGCGUAGAGAUCUGGAAGAACACCAAAGGCGAAGGCAGCGUCCUGGCAAGUCACUGACGCUCAGGUGCGAAAGCUAGGGGAGCGAACGGG
RNAcentral lists this ribosomal RNA (253 nucleotides) under uncultured bacterium. Its description in RNAcentral is "partial 16S ribosomal RNA". It matches the Rfam family "Bacterial small subunit ribosomal RNA", at positions 524 to 776 of the family's 1533-position model. The record is from RNAcentral.